GGUCCAAUGGUCUAGUGGGAUACUUGCUUUGGGCUGUACGUGAUUUGAACGUCGCGUGACUCCCUUGCAAGGGAUCCCCGGUUCAAGCCCGGGUUGGACCC
Non-coding RNA from Amylostereum chailletii, 101 nucleotides. Lineage: Eukaryota; Fungi; Basidiomycota; Agaricomycetes; Russulales; Stereaceae. The record is from the annotation of a GenBank genome assembly.